RNAcentral lists this unclassified non-coding RNA (524 nucleotides) under Hevea brasiliensis (rubber tree). The record is from RNAcentral. Lineage: Eukaryota; Viridiplantae; Streptophyta; Magnoliopsida; Malpighiales; Euphorbiaceae.
AGGCUUAGUUGUUGUUGUUGUUAUCAUCAUGUUCAUUAUUUAAAUAGUCAUAAAAUUAGCACUAGUAACCUCAUUGUCUCAACUAUGUUUUAUCAAUAUCCAUGGCUCAAUAUAUAUGAUCAAAUAUAGAUAUUGAUAAUGCAAGUUUUUCCUUAUCAAACUUCAUGUCUUUUGCUAAUCUGAAGAGACGAUCUGUUAUUCUAUUGAUGCAUGAUAAAGGAAUAACGAUCACAUUAUACUUUCCUGCUAACUAAAAUCUAAUAUGCUUUUGCGAUUACUGAUUGCAUCAAAGUAUUGAGUGGCACAUCUAGAAAGGAAAUGGAUUGUGACAAUUUAAAGAUAGAAGUCUUGGUAGAGACAUUAAUAGUUACUCCCUACAUUGAAGUUUGUGAUUUUAUUGAUAACCCUAGCACAUAUUUGAACUAUGAAAUUUAGGGGAAAGAAAUAUAAAGGAACAGAAUGCCAUUAUUACAUUGUGCUUUUAGUAGGGAUAAUAUUUUUUGGAAGGAUUUCUUCAGGUACAA